AUUGAACGCUGGCGGCAGGCCUAACACAUGCAAGUCGAGCGGAUGAAAGGAGCUUGCUCCUCGAUUCAGCGGCGGACGGGUGAGUAAUGCCUAGGAAUCUGCCUAGUAGUGGGGGACAACGUUUCGAAAGGAACGCUAAUACCGCAUACGUCCUACGGGAGAAAGUGGGGGAUCUUCGGACCUCACGCUAUUAGAUGAGCCUAGGUCGGAUUAGCUAGUUGGUAGGGUAACGGCCUACCAAGGCGACGAUCCGUAACUGGUCUGAGAGGAUGAUCAGUCACACUGGAACUGAGACACGGUCCAGACUCCUACGGGAGGCAGCAGUGGGGAAUAUUGGACAAUGGGCGAAAGCCUGAUCCAGCCAUGCCGCGUGUGUGAAGAAGGCCUUCGGGUCGUAAAGCACUUUAAGUUGGGAGGAAGGGCUUACAGCGAAUACCUGUGAGUUUUGACGUUACCGACAGAAUAAGCACCGGCUAACUUCGUGCCAGCCGCCGCCGUAA
This 500-nucleotide ribosomal RNA is filed under the name uncultured bacterium. RNAcentral describes it as "partial 16S ribosomal RNA". It matches the Rfam family "Bacterial small subunit ribosomal RNA", at positions 30 to 523 of the family's 1533-position model. The record is from RNAcentral.